This 497-nucleotide ribosomal RNA is filed under the name uncultured bacterium. Its description in RNAcentral is "partial 16S ribosomal RNA". It matches the Rfam family "Bacterial small subunit ribosomal RNA", at positions 28 to 507 of the family's 1533-position model. The record is from RNAcentral.
GAUGAACGCUGGCGGCGUGCCUAAUACAUGCAAGUCGAGCGAACAGAUGAGGAUCUUGCUCCUCUGACGUUAGCGGCGGACGGGUGAGUAACACGUGGAUAACCUACCUAUAAGACUGGUAUAACUUCGGGAAACCGGAGCUAAUACCGGAUAAUAUAUUGAACCGCAUGGUUCAAUAGUGAAAUACGGUUUUGCUGUCACUUAUAGAUGGAUCCGCGCCGCAUUAGCUAGUUGGUAAGGUAACGGCUUACCAAGGCAACGAUGCGUAGCCGACCUGAGAGGGUGAUCGGCCACACUGGAACUGAGACACGGUCCAGACUCCUACGGGAGGCAGCAGUAGGGAAUCUUCCGCAAUGGGCGAAAGCAUGACGGAGCAACGCCGAGUGAGUGAUGAAGGUCUUCGGAUCGUAAAACUCUGUUAUUAGGGAAGAACAAAUGUGUAAGUAACUAUGCACGUCUUGACGGUAACUAAUCAGAAAGCCACGGCUAACUACGUG